Molecule: ribosomal RNA, 284 nt
Filed under: uncultured bacterium
Lineage: Bacteria
Description: partial 16S ribosomal RNA
Rfam family: Bacterial small subunit ribosomal RNA
Source: RNAcentral
UCUGCCUACGGGGCGCAGCAGUAGGGAAUUUUCGUCAAUGGGCGCAAGCCUGAACGAGCAAUGCCGCGUGAACGAGGAAGGUCUUCGGAUCGUAAAGUUCUGUUGAAGGGGAAAAAGAGCGGAGAGAGGAAAUGGUCUCCGAUUGAUAUUACACUUCGAGGAAGUCACGGCUAACUACGUGCCAGCAGACGCGGUAAUACGUAGGUGGCGAGCGUUAUCCGGAAUGAUUGGGCGUAAAGGGUGGGUAGGCGGCAUGCUAAGUAUGGAGUGAAAGGUACCGGCUC